This 213-nucleotide long non-coding RNA is filed under the name Olea europaea (common olive). RNAcentral describes it as "long non-coding RNA (OEUR_LNC004103)". The record is from RNAcentral. Lineage: Eukaryota; Viridiplantae; Streptophyta; Magnoliopsida; Lamiales; Oleaceae.
ACAUCAAGAAGCAUUACCUCUCUUACAUGUAACAUCUGGUUUCUGUUGUAGUGAGUUCGAUCGAGGCCAUGGAGUUGGGAUUCUCCAGUCUGCAAUAUUUCAGGAAAAAUACAAACUACUCGCAUAUAUGAAUCAUCAACCAAAGAGGUGACAAAAAAAUAUAUUGUUAAUCCAAAACAGUUAGGAUUUUGAGCUGCAUAAAAACCAAAAAAU